This 332-nucleotide long non-coding RNA is filed under the name Eutrema salsugineum. RNAcentral's name for it is "long non-coding RNA (ESAL_LNC001061)". Lineage: Eukaryota; Viridiplantae; Streptophyta; Magnoliopsida; Brassicales; Brassicaceae. The record is from RNAcentral.
CUCGAUCUAUGAAGAAGAUGAAGAAACCACGAUUUGUCCUCCUUUUGGUUGUGUUUAUAGUCCUCUGCGUCUCACUUGUUUCUUCUGGUAAUCAAUCCAUCUUCUCUUUCAACUUCUUUGUUCUUACUCUGUUUCACUGUUUUUUAAUUAGUAGAUUCAUUCACAUAUCGAAAAAUGGCAGAAAUGAAUUUGGGUUUGGAGGAUUACAAUUUUCCGGUGGAUCCAUCUCCGACUACAAAAGCUUCGAUCAAACCAGGUCCUAUUGAGCAUGGAAACCCUCUCAAUCCUUAUAUUCCUAAGCCUCCUUCUUCUUCUCCUCCUCCACAAGGUCC